This 217-nucleotide long non-coding RNA is filed under the name Vigna radiata. RNAcentral describes it as "long non-coding RNA (VRAD_LNC014639)". Lineage: Eukaryota; Viridiplantae; Streptophyta; Magnoliopsida; Fabales; Fabaceae. The record is from RNAcentral.
GGGGUGAAUUGGUGUUGUUUCAAAAACAAAAUCUUUUCGCAAUCUUUAUACAAAAGUAUAAAGCUUUUUUAUCUUUCUUGAAAUGCAAGUAAUGAAAAUUUCUAUGCAGCGGAAAAACGUAGUUGACUGCUAAACAGAUAAAGUCGACUGAAAUAAAGAGUGCAGGGAUAGAGAAAAUCAAACACUGGUUUUUAUACUGGUUUGGCCAACAAUGCCU